This 254-nucleotide long non-coding RNA is filed under the name Cricetulus griseus (Chinese hamster). RNAcentral's name for it is "lncRNA (ENSCGRG00000024835.1)". The record is from RNAcentral. Lineage: Eukaryota; Metazoa; Chordata; Mammalia; Rodentia; Cricetidae.
CAAAAGCUAAGACUCUAGAUUCCGAAACACUGAGAUUCAAAGUCUAGUGUUGUCCUGGCUUUGGGCAAGAAUCCAAAACCUUCAUAUGCUUUGCUUUCUUAACUUGCAUGCCACGGUUGAGCAGAUCUCUGGGGAUGCUUCCAUAUCCGAUCCAUAGCGAAGUAAGGCUUGUUGCUCAGGGGCUCCAGGUAAGUGCGAGCAGGUGCCAAGAGAAAUGCUUUCAACUGUCAACUUGGACAGUUAUAAAAUUGAUG